GAGGCAAGAUGCAGCUGUUUGUGCGCGCCGAGAACACACACACCCUUGACGUGCAAGAUGGUCAGUGUAUUGGUGAUGUGCGUUCGUUCGUGUGCACAGCAGAAAACCUUCCCCAAGCAGAGGUGAGGCUGUACGCAGCUGGCACACCCCCUGGACAAUGAUGCUCUUCUCCUUAAUACACUACAAGUUGACACCAUUGAUGUCUCUGUUGCCCUGAAGGGAGGUAAGGUUCACGGGUCCCUCUCCCGCGCUGGAAAGGUGAAAGGACAGACCCCAAAAGUUGACAAGAAGGAGAAAAAGAAGGCCAAGACAGGACGAGCAAAGAGACGCAUUCAAUACAACCGUCGUUUUGUCAAUGUUGUCACCACGUUCGGGAAGAA
Molecule: long non-coding RNA, 380 nt
Organism: Scylla paramamosain (green mud crab)
Lineage: Eukaryota; Metazoa; Arthropoda; Malacostraca; Decapoda; Portunidae
Exons: 3
Source: RefSeq, a predicted model, not a curated record